Molecule: ribosomal RNA, 955 nt
Filed under: Salmonella enterica subsp. enterica serovar Baildon
Lineage: Bacteria; Pseudomonadati; Pseudomonadota; Gammaproteobacteria; Enterobacterales; Enterobacteriaceae
Description: bacterial LSU rRNA
Rfam family: Bacterial large subunit ribosomal RNA
Source: RNAcentral
GUUGGGUAGGGGAGCGUUCUGUAAGCCUGUGAAGGUGGCCUGUGAGGGUUGCUGGAGGUAUCAGAAGUGCGAAUGCUGACAUAAGUAACGAUAAAGCGGGUGAAAAGCCCGCUCGCCGGAAGACCAAGGGUUCCUGUCCAACGUUAAUCGGGGCAGGGUGAGUCGACCCCUAAGGCGAGGCCGAAAGGCGUAGUCGAUGGGAAACGGGUUAAUAUUCCCGUACUUGGUGUUACUGCGAAGGGGGGACGGAGAAGGCUAUGUUGGCCGGGCGACGGUUGUCCCGGUUUAAGCGUGUAGGCUGGUUUUCCAGGCAAAUCCGGAAAAUCAAGGCUGAGGCGUGACGACGAGGCACUACGGUGCUGAAGCAACAAAUGCCCUGCUUCCAGGAAAAGCCUCUAAGCAUCAGGUAACAUCAAAUCGUACCCCAAACCGACACAGGUGGUCAGGUAGAGAAUACCAAGGCGCUUGAGAGAACUCGGGUGAAGGAACUAGGCAAAAUGGUGCCGUAACUUCGGGAGAAGGCACGCUGACACGUAGGUGAAGUGAUUUACUCAUGGAGCUGAAGUCAGUCGAAGAUACCAGCUGGCUGCAACUGUUUAUUAAAAACACAGCACUGUGCAAACACGAAAGUGGACGUAUACGGUGUGACGCCUGCCCGGUGCCGGAAGGUUAAUUGAUGGGGUCAGCGCAAGCGAAGCUCCUGAUCGAAGCCCCGGUAAACGGCGGCCGUAACUAUAACGGUCCUAAGGUAGCGAAAUUCCUUGUCGGGUAAGUUCCGACCUGCACGAAUGGCGUAAUGAUGGCCAGGCUGUCUCCACCCGAGACUCAGUGAAAUUGAACUCGCUGUGAAGAUGCAGUGUACCCGCGGCAAGACGGAAAGACCCCGUGAACCUUUACUAUAGCUUGACACUGAACAUUGAGCCUUGAUGUGUAGGAUAGGUGGGAGGCUUUGAAG